RNAcentral lists this long non-coding RNA (852 nucleotides) under Equus caballus (horse). Its description in RNAcentral is "lncRNA (ENSECAG00000034704.3)". The record is from RNAcentral. Lineage: Eukaryota; Metazoa; Chordata; Mammalia; Perissodactyla; Equidae.
UGGGUCCUCAUCAUGAGUGCGAGCCUAUGGAUGUAGAUGGUACCAGUGUGGGGACUUGUUUCCUAAUGUCACGUAGGAUUGCUUCUAGAAUCCCGAUGAUCGGCUGGUUCAUUUGUGUGACUUUAUUGAACAUUUGACAAGAACAUUGAUAAUAAAUGAGGGCUCCUGUUCCAGUGGCCUCACUGCUUUCUAAUAGCCUUCACUGGCUUACUGGCUGUACCACAUUUCUGGUGCUCAAUGAUGAAGAACAAGUCACCAGCCAUCUGGGUCUCAGUUGUCUCAUCUGUAAGGAUGAAGGCAAAGUGUAAUUUGUAAAAACAAACAGUUAAGCAUGUGUACAUCCUGGAGAGCGAGAUCCUGGUGAGAAGCAGGAUGGAUUCCACUGAUGCAGAAAGAGUGGCCUGGAGGAGCCUGAAAGGGGUGAUUCAGAGCCAGCACGGAGUCCCCAGGCUAGCCCCUCAAUGAGGAAGGCCUGGAGGAUGAACGCACUCACAGCUGUGGCUUCUUCACAAUUGAUUGGGAAACCUCUACUCCUGAGGGCCUCUACCCAGUGACCACUUCGUUAGCCAUCCGUGCUACAGUACAUCUUCCAGGACACAUGAGAUGCUCUGUUGGAGAACAUGGUCUUCACUUAGCAGAAGCAGAAGAGGCAUCAAAAUAAGCCAUUCUCACACUGAUUCUUCAUCACUGGGGAUUUGGCGCCUUUUCACUGUUUAUUUUAAUAUAACUGACAACCUUUGUAGUCAAUUUGGUAUCAUUCAUAUCCUGAAAUAUCAUAGACCUGUCUGUAUCUGAUUUGCAAAGUACAGUAAGCAGAAUAAUGCAAUGAAAGUUAUGAUGCUUUAUCUUAAG